This 407-nucleotide ribosomal RNA is filed under the name uncultured Eubacterium sp. RNAcentral's name for it is "bacterial SSU rRNA". It matches the Rfam family "Bacterial small subunit ribosomal RNA", at positions 355 to 774 of the family's 1533-position model. The record is from RNAcentral. Lineage: Bacteria; Bacillati; Bacillota; Clostridia; Eubacteriales; Eubacteriaceae.
UGGGGAAUAUUAGGCAAUGGGGCGAAAGCCUGACCUAGCAACGCCGCGUGAGGGAAGAAGGUCUUCGGAUUGUAAACCUCUGUCCUUGGUGAAGAACACAAUGACAUUAGCCAAGGGAGAAAGCUCCGGCUAACUACGUGCCGGCAGCCGCGGUAAUACGUAGGUGGCAAGCGUUAUCCGGAAUUACUGGGUGUAAAGGGAGCGCAGGCGGGAUAGCAAGUCAGCUGUGAAAACUAUGGGCUCAACCCAUAAACUGCAGUUGAAACUGUUAUUCUUGAGUGGAGUAGAGGCAAGCGGAAUUCCGAGUGUAGCGGUGAAAUGCGUAGAUAUUCGGAGGAACACCAGUGGCGAAGGCGGCUUGCUGGGCUCUAACUGACGCUGAGGCUCGAAAGUGUGGGGAGCAAACA